Molecule: ribosomal RNA, 517 nt
Filed under: uncultured Planctomycetota bacterium
Lineage: Bacteria; Pseudomonadati; Planctomycetota
Description: uncultured planctomycete partial 16S ribosomal RNA
Source: RNAcentral
CUCCACCGCUUGUGUGAGCCCCCGUCAAUUCCUUUGAGUUUCAGCCUUGCGACCAUACUCCCCAGGCGGAACACUUAACGCUUUCGCUACGAGAAAGAAGGCCGAAACCCCCUUCCUCCAGUGUUCAGUGUUUACGGCUAGGAUUACCGGGGUAUCUAAUCCCGUUCACUCCCCUAGCUUUCGUGCCUCAGCGUCAGAAAAGGCCCAGUAUGCCGCUUUCGCUGCUGGCGUUCCUUCCGAUCUCUACACAUUUCACCGCUCCACCGGAAGUUCCACAUACCCCUACCUCACUCAAGUUAUCCAGUAUCACGCGCAGUUUUCCGGUUGAGCCGGAAGAUUUCACACGUGACUUAGAUAACCGCCUACGCACCCUUUAAGCCCAGUGAUUCCGAAUAACGUUCGCACAGUUCGUAUUACCGCGGCUGCUGGCACGAACUUAGCCCGUGCUUCCUCUGAGGCUCUGUCAAAUACAAGAGAUAGCUCUCGUAUACUUCAUCCCCUCUGACAGCGGUUUACA